RNAcentral lists this ribosomal RNA (429 nucleotides) under Gemmatimonadota bacterium. RNAcentral's name for it is "Gemmatimonadetes bacterium partial 16S ribosomal RNA". It matches the Rfam family "Bacterial small subunit ribosomal RNA", at positions 355 to 776 of the family's 1533-position model. The record is from RNAcentral. Lineage: Bacteria; Pseudomonadati; Gemmatimonadota.
UAGGGAAUCUUCGGCAAUGGACGAAAGUCUGACCGAGCAACGCCGCGUGAGUGAAGAAGGUUUUCGGAUCGUAAAACUCUGUUGUUAGAGAAGAACAAGGACGUUAGUAACUGAACGUCCCCUGACGGUAUCUAACCAGAAAGCCACGGCUAACUACGUGCCAGCAGCCGCGGUAAUACGUAGGUGGCAAGCGUUGUCCGGAUUUAUUGGGCGUAAAGCGAGCGCAGGCGGUUUCUUAAGUCUGAUGUGAAAGCCCCCGGCUCAACCGGGGAGGGUCAUUGGACACUGGGAGUCUUGAGUGCAGAAGAGGAGAGUGGAAUUCCAUGUGUAGCGGUGAAAUGCGUAGAUAUAUGGAGGAACACCAGUGGCGAAGGCGGCUCUCUGGUCUGUAACUGACGCUGAUGCUCGAAAGCGUGGGGAGCAAACAGG